Molecule: small nuclear RNA, 304 nt
Filed under: Jaculus jaculus (lesser Egyptian jerboa)
Lineage: Eukaryota; Metazoa; Chordata; Mammalia; Rodentia; Dipodidae
Description: 7SK RNA (ENSJJAG00000005603.1)
Rfam family: 7SK RNA
About the family: 7SK was discovered as an abundant small nuclear RNA in the mid-70s but a possible function has only recently been suggested. Two independent studies have found that 7SK RNA binds the CDK9/cyclin T complex (known as elongation factor P-TEFb). P-TEFb activates transcription by phosphorylating the C-terminal domain of RNA polymerase II.
Source: Rfam by way of RNAcentral
GAAUGUGAAAGCAAUUUGGUUGCAAUAUUGUCACACGACUGAUCAUCACAAUUCAUUUGGAACAUCUAGUUGGCUAGGCAGAUGUCUCCUUCCUCCCUCAUUUCUAUUCCAAAAGCUGCACAUCCAGUCAAAGAGGAUGACCUUCCCAUAAUGAGGAAUAUCACCCUGUUGGCAAGGGUAUAAAAGUAGCUCUAAUACCUUGCUAAAACCUCCAAACAAGCUCUCUAGGUCCACUUAUGGAUGAACAUCGGGUGGUCAGAGCACAUCUAAAAGAGGCAUUUUAUGUGACAGUCUGACAUUCUUU